This 2289-nucleotide ribosomal RNA is filed under the name human gut metagenome. RNAcentral describes it as "bacterial LSU rRNA". It matches the Rfam family "Bacterial large subunit ribosomal RNA", at positions 546 to 2856 of the family's 2925-position model. The record is from RNAcentral.
GAACCUGAAACCCUGCACUUACAAGCUGUAGGAGCACAUUUCUUGUGUGACUGCGUACUUUUUGUAGAACGGGCCAACGAGUUACGUUGUGUAGCAAGGUUAAGCACUUAAGGUGUGGAGCCGUAGCGAAAGCGAGUCUUAAAUGGGCGUCUAGUUACCCGACGUAGACCCGAAACCAGGCGACCUAUCCAUGAGCAGGUUGAAGCGAAAGUAAAAUUUCGUGGAGGACCGAACCCACGUACGUUGAAAAGUGCGGGGAUGACUUGUGGAUAGCGGUGAAAUUCCAAUCGAGCCUGGAGAUAGCUGGUUCUCCCCGAAAUAGCUUUAGGGCUAGCCUCAAGAUUAGAGAAGCGGAGGUAGAGCACUGAAUGUCCUAGGGGGUAUUGCACUUACCGAAGACUAUCAAACUCCGAAUGCCGUAUUCUUUUGCUUGGGAGUCAGACUAUGGGUGAUAAGAUUCAUAGUCAAGAGGGCAACAGCCCAGAUCGUCAGCUAAGGUCCCUAAAUGUAAGUUAAGUGGUAAAGGAUGUGGAAUUGCACAGACAACCAGGAUGUUGGCUUAGAAGCAGCCACUCAUUUAAAGAGUGCGUAAUAGCUCACUGGUCGAGUGAUUCUGCGCCGAAAAUUUCCGGGGCUAAAACUUACUACCGAAGCUACGGCAUCAUUAUGAUGGGUAGGGGAGCUUUCUAUACGGGUUGAAGCAUGACCGUAAGGACAUGUGGACUGUAUAGAAGUGAGAAUGUUGGCAUGAGUAGCGAGAUGUGGGUGAGAAUCCCACAGGCCGUAAACCCAAGGUUUCCAGGGGAAGGUUCGUCCGCCCUGGGUUAGUCAGGACCUAAGCCGAGGCCGAAAGGCGUAGGUGAUGGACAACAGGUUGAUAUUCCUGUACCACCAAUAACCGUUUGAGAAAUGGGAUGACACAGUAGGAUAAGCUAACCGCACUGUUGGUUAUGUGCGGGCAAGUAUUGAGGCAGUUCCGAUAGGCAAAUCCGUCGGAAUAAUGCUGGGGUACGAUGCGGAGCGAAAUUAAGUAGCGAAGUAGCUGAUUUCACACUGUCGAGAAAAGUCUCUAUCGAGGUUAAAGGUGCCUGUACCGCAAACCGACACAGGUGGGUGAGGAGAGUAUCCUAAGGCCAGCGAGAGAACUGUUGUUAAGGAACUCGGCAAAAUGACCCCGUAACUUAGGGAGAAGGGGUGCCUUCGAAAGAAGGCCGCAGAGAAUAGGCCCAAGCGACUGUUUACCAAAAACAUAGGUUUCUGCUAAGUCGCAAGACGAUGUAUAGGAGCUGACGCCUGCCCGGUGCUGGAAGGUUAAGGGGAUCUGUUAGAGCAAUCGAAGCAGUGAACUUAAGCCCCAGUAAACGGCGGCCGUAACUAUAACGGUCCUAAGGUAGCGAAAUUCCUUGUCGGGUAAGUUCCGACCCGCACGAAAGGCGUAACGAUUUGGGCACUGUCUCAACAACAGACUCGGUGAAAUUGUAAUACCGGUGAAGAUGCCGGUUACCUGCGACAGGACGGAAAGACCCCAUGGAGCUUUACUGUAGCUUGACAUUGAGUCUCGGUGCUACAUGUACAGGAUAGGUGGGAGACUAUGAAGCAUGGACGUCAGUCUGUGUGGAGUCAUCCUUGGGAUACCACCCUUGUAGUACUGGGAUUCUAACCAGAGGCCAUGAAUCUGGUCUUGGGACACUGUCAGGUGGACAGUUUGACUGGGGCGGUCGCCUCCCAAAAAGUAACGGAGGCGCUCAAAGGUUCUCUCAGUACGGUCGGAAAUCGUACGAAGAGUGUAAAGGCAAAAGAGAGCUUGAUUGCAAGACAUACAGGUCGAGCAAGGACGAAAGUCGGACUUAGUGAUCCGGUGGUUCCGCAUGGAAGGGCCAUCGCUCAACGGAUAAAAGCUACCCUGGGGAUAACAGGCUGAUCUCCCCCAAGAGUCCACAUCGACGGGGAGGUUUGGCACCUCGAUGUCGGCUCAUCACAUCCUGGGGCUGUAGUAGGUCCCAAGGGUUGGGCUGUUCGCCCAUUAAAGUGGUACGCGAGCUGGGUUCAGAACGUCGUGAGACAGUUCGGUCCCUAUCCGUCGCAGGCGUAGGAAAUUUGAGGAGACCUGUCCUUAGUACGAGAGGACCGGGAUGGACGUACCGCUGGUGUACCAGUUGUUCUGCCAAGGGCAUGGCUGGGUAGCUAAGUACGGAAAGGAUAAGCGCUGAAAGCAUCUAAGCGCGAAGCCCACUUCAAGAUAAGAUUUCCCACCGCAAGGUUAAGAUCCCAGGAAGACUACCUGGUUGA